UACCAGCACCCCGAGUGGUCGGGACGAUUAUUGGGCCUAAAGCAUCCGUAGCCGGUUCUACAAGUCUUCUGUUAAAUCCACCUGCUUAACAGAUGGGCUGCGGAGGAUACUAUAGAGCUAGGAGGCGGGAGAGGCAAGCGGUACUUAGUGGGUAGGGGUAAAAUCCGUUGAUCCAUUGAAGACCACCAGUGGCGAAGGCGGCUUGCCAGAACGCACUCGACGGUGAGGGAUGAAAGCUGGGGGAGCAAACCGG
This 253-nucleotide ribosomal RNA is filed under the name uncultured bacterium. RNAcentral's name for it is "partial 16S ribosomal RNA". It matches the Rfam family "Archaeal small subunit ribosomal RNA", at positions 474 to 727 of the family's 1478-position model. The record is from RNAcentral.